RNAcentral lists this transfer RNA (75 nucleotides) under Cordylochernes scorpioides. Its description in RNAcentral is "tRNA-Thr". It matches the Rfam family "tRNA". From Rfam's summary of the family: Transfer RNA (tRNA) molecules are approximately 80 nucleotides in length. Their secondary structure includes four short double-helical elements and three loops (D, anti-codon, and T loops). Further hydrogen bonds mediate the characteristic L-shaped molecular structure. tRNAs have two regions of fundamental functional importance: the anti-codon, which is responsible for specific mRNA codon recognition, and the 3' end, to which the tRNAs corresponding amino acid is attached (by aminoacyl-tRNA synthetases). tRNAs cope with the degeneracy of the genetic code in two manners: having more than one tRNA (with a specific anti-codon) for a particular amino acid; and 'wobble' base-pairing, i.e. permitting non-standard base-pairing at the 3rd anti-codon position. The record is from RNAcentral. Lineage: Eukaryota; Metazoa; Arthropoda; Arachnida; Pseudoscorpiones; Chernetidae.
GUCCAGGGUAGCCUAGUGGUCAGGGCAUCUGCCCGGUAAGCGGAAGGUCGUGGGUUCGAUUCCCAUCCCUUGACA